This 1476-nucleotide long non-coding RNA is filed under the name Heterocephalus glaber (naked mole-rat). Its description in RNAcentral is "lncRNA (ENSHGLG00100036218.1)". The record is from RNAcentral. Lineage: Eukaryota; Metazoa; Chordata; Mammalia; Rodentia; Bathyergidae.
CUUUCUGGGGGCAAAUUCAAUUUUAAAAAUUGAUCAUUGGAAGGGAAAACUAUCUUCCCCAGGUCUGUCACUGCAGAGGGCUCCUGGAUUUAAUACUCCUGAUUUUGCUUUGCCUGACACAGAUUUCUCUCUUUUUUUCUUCCACAGGUCAAAAUCAUUAACUUGUUGCUUCUCAAAAUCACUAGGACCCUCUUCUAAUAUAAUGUUGGGCUUUCUUCAAGUACCACACAAGAAGACAUCCCAGGGACAUCCGGAUCCCCAGCUAUUUCAUUUUACAUCUUGGUAUUACCUUCACUCCUCAGAGCUGAGUUCUAAGUCCAGUCACUUACUGAAAAUAUGACUUCCCAGGGAUCUUCAGACUUGGACAAAAUCUUGCCUGCUCCCUAUGGAUGAUUUAGAAAAGGUUCUGUUAGUGUCCAGAGAAGCAAGACUGUCCCAUGUGUGAAUCUCAUUGCCAAAGUAUGUGUGGGACAAUGUGAUGGACCUUAUCCAGCCAUUUAAAGUCUCAACGUGGUGGCUCUAAAAUGUGAAGAAGAUCUGGUGUUCAAGACCUGAGCCACAAAUUCUCUGGGACGUUCCCUCUGAACCAAAGAGCCCUGGAGGAGGGAAUUUUCUCUGAUGCUGUAGAGGAAGCUACUCUGUGAGUGGAAGUCUCUCCUCACACUCUCAAGGAGAACCAACACCUUCUUCCUAUGAGGCCCAGAGAACCAUUACAGGACUCCAUUGAAACAUGCAAUUAUGUGCAUUGCCUCAUGUAACCCUUUUAACCCACUAAAGAAAAAGACUGUUAAAAGUAGGUAUCUGUGUCUCCCUGAGAUGAGUAUGAUAACAUGAACAGCAACAUCGGCUGACCCUUACUGGAUUCUUUCUGUGCAUCUGCACUAUGUUGCCUGAGUUACACACAGUGUGUGGCCCAUACUACUUUCCAUAGAUGGUUGUGAUGUUUCCCCCAUCCUACAUGGACUUCUGCAGGGUGCCAUAGCCAUCACGCAGUCAGGAGAAGGAAUCUAAUUCCAUCCGCUCUGGCCUGAACUUACCUCAGUGACCGACUUGUGGCAGAGAUGUUGGUGGCAGAGCUGCCCCACUUUUCCAAGGCUGGCAUUGAAGAAGAGUCACAACCUCAGUCUUACUGUCUUUGAAUACUGCUUGCUGGGCUGGCCCCUCUGGGAAUUCAACCUCUGUUCCAGGGAUCUACAGACCACAGAAGGGCCACAUGUAGACUGGGGAAGGCAUGGUCACCUGAGCCUACCCUGUGAGUGAUCCGUACACUGGUGCCAUCCUGUGAGCACUGUUUUUCCAGAAUUACUUACCUUAGCCACUUGAGUCUCCUGGCCAGGGCCCAGUCUCUUGUGCUUCUUACAAAUUCCCGAACCACACCCACAAGGGCACUGAAACUGCUACACACCCAAGCCACUAGGUUUGGGUGGGUUUGCUAUGCAGCAGUAGGUAACCAGGCCCUUCACAGGGCUACAAGGU